This 22-nucleotide non-coding RNA is filed under the name Mus musculus (house mouse). The record is from RNAcentral. Lineage: Eukaryota; Metazoa; Chordata; Mammalia; Rodentia; Muridae.
UGCACGAUACCUCAGGCAUGCA